Molecule: ribosomal RNA, 468 nt
Filed under: uncultured Alphaproteobacteria bacterium
Lineage: Bacteria; Pseudomonadati; Pseudomonadota; Alphaproteobacteria
Description: bacterial SSU rRNA
Rfam family: Bacterial small subunit ribosomal RNA
Source: RNAcentral
GAGUUUGAUCCUGGCUCAGAGCGAACGCUGGCGGCAGGCUUAACACAUGCAAGUCGAGCGGGCGUAGCAAUACGUCAGCGGCAGACGGGUGAGUAACGCGUGGGAACGUACCUUUUGGUUCGGAACAACACAGGGAAACUUGUGCUAAUACCGGAUAAGCCCUUACGGGGAAAGAUUUAUCGCCGAAAGAUCGGCCCGCGUCUGAUUAGCUAGUUGGUGAGGUAAUGGCUCACCAAGGCGACGAUCAGUAGCUGGUCUGAGAGGAUGAUCAGCCACAUUGGGACUGAGACACGGCCCAAACUCCUACGGGAGGCAGCAGUGGGGAAUAUUGGACAAUGGGGGCAACCCUGAUCCAGCCAUGCCGCGUGAGUGAUGAAGGCCCUAGGGUUGUAAAGCUCUUUUGUGCGGGAAGAUAAUGACGGUACCGCAAGAAUAAGCCCCGGCUAACUUCGUGCCAGCAGCCGCCGU